RNAcentral lists this ribosomal RNA (418 nucleotides) under uncultured bacterium. RNAcentral's name for it is "bacterial SSU rRNA". It matches the Rfam family "Bacterial small subunit ribosomal RNA", at positions 28 to 447 of the family's 1533-position model. The record is from RNAcentral.
GAUGAACGCUAGCGGCAGGCUUAAUACAUGCAAGUCGAACGGUAACAGGUCUUCGGACGCUGACGAGUGGCGCACGGGUGAGGAACACGUACACAAUCUACCUUAUACUGGAGAAUAGCCCCGGGAAACUGGGAUUAAUACUCCAUAGUCUUUAAUGAUCACAUGAGAAAUAAAGUAAAGCUUCGGCGGUAUAAGAUGAGUGUGCGUCCCAUUAGAUUGUUGGUGAGGUAACGGCUCACCAAGUCGACGAUGGGUAGCUGGCGUGAGAGCGCGACCAGCCACACUGGCACUGAGACACGGGCCAGACUCCUACGGGAGGCAGCAGUAGGGAAUAUUGGUCAAUGGGCGAAAGCCUGAUCCAGCCAUGCCGCGUGUGUGAUGAAGGCCUUAGGGUUGUAAAGCACUUUCGUACGGGAGU